Molecule: ribosomal RNA, 301 nt
Filed under: uncultured bacterium
Lineage: Bacteria
Description: partial 16S ribosomal RNA
Rfam family: Bacterial small subunit ribosomal RNA
Source: RNAcentral
CAGUAGCCACGGUAAUACGGAGGGUGCAAGCGUUAAUCGGAAUUACUGGGCGUAAAGCGCACGCAGGCGGUCUGACAAGUCAGAUGUGAAAUCCCCGGGCUUAACCUGGGAACUGCAUUUGAAACUGUCAGGCUGGAGUCUUGUAGAGGGGGGUGGAAUUCCAGGUGUAGCGGUGAAAUGCGUAGAGAUCUGGAGGAAUACCGGUGGCGAAGGCGGCCCCCUGGACAAAGGCUGACGCUCAGGUGCGAAAGCGUGGGGAGUAAACAGGAUUAGAUACCCCGGUAGUCCCUGUCUCUUAUAC